RNAcentral lists this ribosomal RNA (255 nucleotides) under uncultured bacterium. RNAcentral describes it as "partial 16S ribosomal RNA". It matches the Rfam family "Bacterial small subunit ribosomal RNA", at positions 524 to 776 of the family's 1533-position model. The record is from RNAcentral.
UACGAGGGGGGCGAGCGUUUGUUCGGAAUUAUUGGGCGUAAAGGGUGCGUAGGCGGCCUGACAAGUCUGAUGUGAAAUCCCCUGGGCUCAACCCAGGGCCUGCAUCGGAAACUGUCGGGCUUGAGUAUGGGAGAGGUGAGUGGAAUUUCCGGUGUAGCGGUGAAAUGCGUAGAUAUCGGAAGGAACACCUGUGGCGAAAGCGGCUCACUGGACCAUUACUGACGCUGAGGCACGAAAGCUAGGGGAGCAAACAGG